Non-coding RNA from Arachis ipaensis, 1102 nucleotides. Lineage: Eukaryota; Viridiplantae; Streptophyta; Magnoliopsida; Fabales; Fabaceae. The record is from RefSeq and is a predicted model, not a curated record.
UUAAAAUAAGAGUUGGUUCACGAUCUCCUCCUCAUUUCAUAAAACACCCCAUCCUUCAUCGGUGGCGCUCUUCACUUAUCCCCUCCAAAACCUUCAUCGGCGGUGCCUCUCGCUUGUACACCACCGUUACCUGAUGCUUUAUCACACCCCUUGGCCAAUCUCUCCGUCACACCACUUCCAUAAUCUCUCUCUUUUAGUUUCGAUACCGAUGAAUUUUACCACCCUCUCGAUGCCGUUUUCUGUCACUGCUCACUGAAGCUCGUCAUUGUCAUCGCCGCUUCUACCUCUUCUUCUCGUCGCCGUUGAUUCAGGAUUUUGAUGACAUGGAUAAGCGCUUGAAGGAUAUAGAAGAUGAAACUACUGCUCUUAAAGAGAUACUAGGAUCAGUAGCAGAAUGGAGAAGAUUGAACGGCAUUGAAUAUCCUGCAAUCAACUACAGAAAGCACAGUGCGGUAUUGACUGAUUUUGGUGGCAUUGGUGAUGGAAAAACUUCCAACAUGAAGGAAUUUCAAUAUGCAGUAAGCAGCCUGAGCCACUAUGCAUCUGAUGGUGUGCACAACUUGUUGUGCCACCUGGUAAAUGGCUCACUGGAAGCUUUAAUCUCACCAGCCAUUUCACUCUCUUUCUCCAAAAGGAUGCUCUCAUUCUUGCAUCUCAGAAUGGCCUCCACUUCCUGUUCUACCAUCUUAUGGGAGGGGAAGAGAUGCUCCUGAUGGAAGAUUUAGCAGCCUCAUCUUUGGAACUAACCUCACUGAUGUUGUAAUCACUGGUGCUAAUGGCACAAUUGACGGGCAAGGGUCAUAUUGGUGGGCCAAAUUCAAACAGAACCAAUUCAAACUGACUAGAUCAUACUUGAUAGGGAUCAUGUACUCUGAUCAAAUCCAGAUUUCAUGGAAACAGAUUCUCAGGUGAAAUUUCACCAGAUGUAGGCAAGUUAAAGAGUGUUCUCAAGAUGUAUUUGAGUGUUAACAAUUUUUCAGAUUCACAUAUUGAAUUAUCUCAAUGUCUCAUGGAAGAAUGAAAGCAGCAAGGAGCUCAGGAUCGCUAAUGUUAAUGAUAAAAUGUAUUUCAUGUGCACUUACCCUGCGAUAUUCCCUACUUG